This 550-nucleotide ribosomal RNA is filed under the name uncultured archaeon. RNAcentral's name for it is "bacterial SSU rRNA". It matches the Rfam family "Archaeal small subunit ribosomal RNA", at positions 325 to 879 of the family's 1478-position model. The record is from RNAcentral.
ACGGGGUGCAGCAGGCGCGAAACUUCACAUGGCGAAAGCCCGAUGAGGGAAUUCCUAGUGCUAGCACAUUUGUGCUAGCUUUUCCUUAGCGUAGAUAACUAGGGGAAUAAGGGCUGGGUAAGACGGGUGCCAGCCGCCGCGGUAAUACCCGCAGCCCGAGUGGUGGUCGAUUUUAUUGAGUCUAAAACGUUCGUAGCCGGUCUGAUAAAUCCCCUGGGUAAAUCGGGUGGCUUAACCAUCCGAAUUCCGGGGAGACUGUCAGGCUUGGGAUCGGGAGAGGUAUGAGGUACUUCAGGGGCAGGGGUAAAAUCCUGUAAUCCUUGGAGGACCACCGGUGGCGAAGGCGUCAUACUAGAACGAAUCCGACGGUGAGGGACGAAGCCCUAGGUCGCAAACGGGAUUAGAUACCCUGGUAGUCCAGGGUGUAAACGCUGCAGACUUGGUGUUGGGGGCCCUACGGGGGCGUUCAGUGCCGGAGAGAAGUUGUUAAGUCUGCUACUUGGGGAGUACGUCCGCAAGGAUGAAACUUAAAGGAAUUGCGGGGGAGCAC